Molecule: long non-coding RNA, 412 nt
Filed under: Phoenix dactylifera (date palm)
Lineage: Eukaryota; Viridiplantae; Streptophyta; Magnoliopsida; Arecales; Arecaceae
Description: long non-coding RNA (PDAC_LNC008937)
Source: RNAcentral
AUCAAAAUCCAUUAGGAGGUCAACAAUCUCCCCUUUUUGAUGAUGACAAAACACUGAGUAUAUGCAAAAUUCGAAAUUUAAACAUAUACGCAGUAUUUGAUCAGAUGUACAAGUAUUGUGUUUUGGUUAGAGCUAGAUACAGUGUGCAUAAUUCAAAAUAGUCAACUUUCAGUUCUAUCCUUAUGCAUAAGUAUUGAUCUUAGUAGCUUUUGAGCAAUUUUAGCAUAUCAACCGAAUUUGAAUCAAGUUAAAAUGUAAAUUAAUGAAAUAUUGAUGCUAAAGACAAUUGAAAGCUAAAUACUUUUUGACUCCCCCUUUCUUUUCCAGAAGAGCAAUUAUCUUAAAGCCAAUAUUCUUCAAUUUUAUCUUUUCUAAUUCAACUUUUAAGUAUGAGUGUAAAUUCUGUAUUUUG